RNAcentral lists this long non-coding RNA (4823 nucleotides) under Homo sapiens (human). RNAcentral's name for it is "non-protein coding lnc-PI3-1:2". The record is from RNAcentral. Lineage: Eukaryota; Metazoa; Chordata; Mammalia; Primates; Hominidae.
UUCAACUACCCCAAAAAAAUCUCCUGGAAACUACUCUCUGAAAGAAGUUGGAGAAAAAUUAUUAAUGCACUUGAAGAAGAUCAAGAAAAAAGAAAGCGUGAGUAAUGUUUUGGGUGUGACCUCACAAGGCAACUUGCAUUCUUAACUCUGUCUCAGCCCCUGAGAACCCUGAGCUUGUUGGAUAACCCAACCUGCAAAACACAGCUCACAGAUUUCUGAGAAGCCUGAAGAUUCAGGAUCAGGACCAUAGUAAGAUAUGAGUGUCUAGGUAGCAUGACAACAGCCAGAACCACUUCUCAACAAUUGUGUGAUGUGUACACAGCUGCUGCAGUCCUGGACACUCAUCACUGCCACCCAUGACUCUGGAAUUGGGUAUUGCUGUGGACAACAAUACUACUUUGUUCUGGGAAAGAAUGCCCCUUCAUCCUUGCUUCUUUGAGUCACUCAAUGGAGAUUCAAGGUGACAUAUGGGAACAUUACAUUUGCUGAGCAUGUUUGUGCAGCCCUAGGCCUCAGGGGUGAAGGAAAGUGCCCCCUGUUUUGUUCUGUUUUUGCAGUAGGAACCCAGCUCUGUCACUCAGCAAGUCUCAAAGAUGGCCUUAAAUAGGGAGAUCCCACAACAUAACAAGGGAGUUCCACAUAGUGGACAGUCAAAAGCAUGGACACAUCUCCCAUACCGUGGAUCUUCCUAGGGUUCCAAACUCCCCUUGAAACUUACACAUUGGCAGGUAUAAAGUGAACAGCACAAUUGUUCACCUCUGGAAAUAGAAGGGCCACUCCCUAAUCACCAUGGAAAUAUUCCUAAGAAUGUGCCUUUUCUUAUUGGGCAGAAGGCCAGAUAUCUUUUUUUAUCAGUUUUUUCAAUGGCAGUAAUUUAUUUCACAAGGUCACCUUUAAUGGGCCUGACCCAUUUUUCUGCCUAUAUUUUAAUCACAGGCUGUAUCUUCAGCUUCUCCACACUAGAUGAUACCUUAUCCUCCCAGCCUACUGUUCAGUGUUUUUAUGGGCACGCUCAUUCCUCAACAAUACUGGUCCCACAGUAUUUUUCUCUCCAAUCACAACAGAGCAUACCACUGCUGCCUCCAGGCAUGGCAACACCAUGUCUGGCCACCAACAUUGCCAAAUUGGACACCACUUCCACUCUCCUCACUGGAAAUAGAUGCUGUAGCCAUUUAUGCCACUGCUGCCGGAGUAAACUCUCACUUCCUACCACCUCCAUGUCUGCUUUUUUCUAUCACCAAUUCUCAGUCCAUUGCAGUGUAUACCUCUGACUGUGUGAACCGGUGCAUAUGCACAUGUGGAGGCUGCCAAGAAGUCAGAGAAACAGGCAUGUGGACUUUGCAGCUUCUGCUGGGAAUGGUGUUUGUAGGCUUAGAGGCUAAGACAGGAAAGUUGCCCACACAACCAUUCUCAUCCCAUUGUGAGCACUGGAGCACCUACUAUGCCCCUCCUUUCCUUCACUCUGUGUUCUAGCCUCAGCUUAUGACCUACAGUUUUAAUCAACUGUAAAAAGGCAAUGGAGAUUGGCAAUAGUAGGGACUUCACCGCCUCUUGCCUGGAUUCUCUAAUCCACUUACUUCCUUGAAAAGGCAUUUACAAUUCUGUAAUCAUGAGGGGAGAUCAAGAAUUAUGAGAAAGAUGAGAAGUUCAGGGGCUGCAUGAUAUUACUGAAAUUACACAGAGACUCUAAAAUGGUAAAUCAAUGCUCAGAAUUUGCAUUGCAGUCAGAAAAGAUAUGGUUAUUCUGGGAUAGCUCCACUGCUACCAUGUUCCUCCUAGAGGCACAAUGUUCUCUAACAAAACAGUUUUUGCUGAGACUGGAAACACUGAUAACAUAUUUGCAGGCUGUGUGUGCUCCAUGGGGGUUGAAAGCGGGGAUCACUAAUGAUAAUUUUUGAACAACCUUCUUAGGCCUUCCUUGUCCAGUACCUCCUGGGAUGGGGACACUCUGUUCUAGCUAGCCAUGUGUGUCUGUCUUUUGGAGUCCAGAGUGAUAAGCGUCAUGCACAAGUACCAGGUGCUUCUCAGCUUGUAACAGAUUCCAACUUUUCUUGAAUUUGAAGUUGGAAACUCCCUUUGAAAUAUCCAGACAAAACCCCCCAUCUUGUGGAUGGGAAAACCGGAAUCCAGGGAUCCAUCAAAGUUUAAUCUAGAAAUCAGGGGCAGAGCUGGGGCUGGGAACUAUCUGUUCUAAUAUGAUGUCAUUCCCUUUGGUAGAAUGUUGAAAAAGCAGGAGGAUUCAUUAGCCUUUCAAAAAAGACUAGUUGAGGGGUUAAUUUGCCAAAAAGCACAGUGACAAUAGGAAUUCCAGGAAAAUAGAAUAAUCCAAGCCAAAAUGUGGAAUCAAAGAAAAAUAUAGAUUUGAGGAGACCCCAAAGAAGUCAGCAACUCAACUAUAAAGUAACCCUCCACAAUAUGCUAAUUCUGCCACCAUCCAGGUCUUCCGCAUCACCUUGGUGUUCUCACUUGCGGUGUGCCCACUGCACGAGCUUUCUGCUAUUCUACUGCACAUUCACAGCUCACUUGGAAGAAACUUUAGUAAGAUUCUUGGAAUCUUUCUCACAGCAGGAAGAGUCCUAAGAGACCGAGCUACUCCUUUUACAAUAAUUGAGACACAGACCGCUGGCAAAUGAAAUUUGCCCCAAAUUUGGAAGACCAUCUCAUAGGCAUGACAACAAAAGACUCAUGUGUUUGUUUUAACUUGGUGUGGUUUUUUUUAAUUAUGGGGGUAGUUUUAUUUAUUUUCAAAUAUGUAGUAGCUACUUGCAUUACUUUUUAAUAAACCACAUGUUCAUGGUCUAUGUUUAUUUUUCUAUGAGAAGAUCUAUUUUCCUUAUUGUGUUUUAAAAAUUCUUUCAAUAUAUUAUAGAAUAUCUCUAUUCCCACCAUAUGUGUUUAUACAUUUUAAAAAUUUCUGUUUUCUUACUGUAUGCAUGAUUUUCCCUGUAAAACUUUUUAUUUGCUUGUAGUUAAUGAUAUUAAUUUACUUCAGAAAAUCAUUCACGUGUAAAUAUUCUACAAAACUUGUCUCAUGUUUACUUUGAAUACUUUUAUAGUUCGAUCUUUAUGUUUAAAUCCUUGACCACCUAAAACGUACUUUGAAAUAAUGGGUGGAGUGGAAAUCCAGUAUUUACUCCUUGAAUUGCCGGUAAUCAGUCUAAACAUCAUUCGCUGAAUUACUAACAUUUCUUAAGUGAUGUGGAAUUCUGCCCUUAUCAUUUGUAAAAUUCUCAAAGGCAUUGAGUUUAUCUUUUAUUCCAUUGAGAUGUGUGCAUUUUCUCACCAUUAAUGUAUGUUCUAAUUAUGUUGACAUAUUUUUGUGAUAAUUUUGGUGGAAUUAAAAUGUGUCAUGGGUAACUCUCCCAUGACAAUUUAUCAUCAAUAUUUUCCUGGAAAACCUCAAAUGCUUACUUUAUCAGUUGGUAUGUUCAAUUUCAUUAAUCAUUGGAUUUUUAUCUCAUGGGCUUCCAACUUACUCUUCAUUGUUUAUCACUAAAACCCACUAAAAUCUCCAUUUUUUUUUUUUUUUUUUUGAGACAGGAUCUCGCUCUGUCGCCAGGCUGGAGUGCAGUGGCGCAAUCUUGGCUCACUGCAACCUCUGCCUCCUGGGUUCAAGUGAUUCUUCUGCGUCAGCCUCCUGAGUAGCUGGGACUACAGUUGCAUGCCACCAUGCCCAGCUAAUUUUUGUAUUUUUAAUAGAGACAGGGUUUCACCAUGUUAGCCAGGAUGGUUUUGAUCUCUUGACCUCGUGAUCCGCCUGCCUUGGCCUCCCAAAGUGCUGGGAUUCCAGGCGUGAGCCACCACGCCCGGUCUCCAUAGUUUUUAAGAGCGCCGUUAGGCUGGAUAUUCCUUAUACUCUGUUCCUAAUACUGUCAGUUCCUUAGGGAGGACUUUGGAGCUCUCUAUUCUUAUAGCCUGCCUCUCACUUUUGGAAAAUCACUGAGUUCCUUCUAAGGAGCUGUUUUGGAAAGAGUGGUUCACUUUUCUCAGAGUGACAGCCCUGCUUUACCAACUGGGCUCUGACCAUGAGCCAGAACAUCCUCUGAUGUUGUUGGCAGGCAUUCACUGGCAUGAAAAUUCUGCCUGGCAAAUGAGCUGUGCCGAGGGCUAUGGGGGUCUCAGCAUUCUUGACCUACAAUGCCUGGGAUAGAACCUCUCCACUACAAGUAGUGUUGGGUGGAAGAAUGGAGCUCUGUACCUCUUCAUCACACUCACCUGGAAUCUCUGCAAUACAACCUUGGAAUGGGUUUGAGAGAUGCUGGCAACCUUUUGCCUCUGGUGAGAUAUCAUAACCCUUUAAAGGGAAGUGAGAGGAAAGAGACUCUCCCAUUACUUGGCUAGAUGUGCCCUGAGUGAAGCUUCCCUCAUAUUGAGCUAGGAUAUAGAAAGUAUAGAGUGGGUUAUGACUCAAAUGCUGUAGACACUCUGUGUUCUUUCAAGGUUUAGUAGAGUUUUAAAAAUAAAUGUAUGCACUUAAGACAAUUCCCAAAGACUUCAAGUGGCUGUUUUAAAAAAUAACUUUUAUCAAGUAUGAUUGUUUGGUUUGAGGGUAUUUCCAUGGAUCUCCUUACACUGCUAUUCCAGAGGAGAAGCCACCAGGUCACUCAACUCUUAGUAUCAUCUACUGGAAACUGGCUAAGACAGUAUUUAUGUGCUUCUCUCACAAUAACAGGAAGAUAACUAUAUCACACAAUGGAUAUGGCAGUUGGCUUGACUGCAGUAAUCAUUUAACUAUGUAUAUGUAUAUCAAAACAUCAUGUUGCAUACCUUAAAUAUGUACAAUAAAAAUAAAAUCUAAAAGAAAUAAAAUAAAAAUAACUUUC